UGGGGAAUAUUGCACAAUGGGCGAAAGCCUGAUGCAGCAACGCCGCGUGAGUGAUGAAGGCCUUCGGGUUGUAAAGCUCUGUCUUUUGGGACGAUAAUGACGGUACCAAAGGAGGAAGCCACGGCUAACUACGUGCCAGCAGCCGCGGUAAUACGUAGGUGGCAAGCGUUGUCCGGAUUUACUGGGCGUAAAGGAUGCGUAGGCGGAUUUUUAAGUGAGAUGUGAAAACCCUAAGCUUAACUUGGGGACUGCAUUUCAUACUGGAAAUCUAGAGUGCGGGAGAGGAGAAUGGAAUUCCUAGUGUAGCGGUGAAAUGCGUAGAGAUUAGGAAGAACACCAGUGGCGAAGGCGAUUCUCUGGACCGUAACUGACGCUGAGGCAUGAAAGCGUGGGUAGCAAAACAGGAUUAGAUACCCUGGUAGUCCACGCCGUAAACGAUGAGUACUAGGUGUAGGAGGUAUCGACCCCUUCUGUGCCGCAGUUAACACAAUAAGUACUCCGCCUGGGAAGUACGAUCGCAAGAUUAAAACUCAAAUGAAUUGACGGGGUCAUAGCUGUUUCCU
Molecule: ribosomal RNA, 563 nt
Filed under: uncultured bacterium
Lineage: Bacteria
Description: partial 16S ribosomal RNA
Rfam family: Bacterial small subunit ribosomal RNA
Source: RNAcentral